Molecule: ribosomal RNA, 253 nt
Filed under: uncultured bacterium
Lineage: Bacteria
Description: partial 16S ribosomal RNA
Rfam family: Bacterial small subunit ribosomal RNA
Source: RNAcentral
UACGUAGGGUGCAAGCGUUGUCCGGAAUUAUUGGGCGUAAAGAGCUCGUAGGCGGUUCGUCGCGUCGGCUGUGAAAACCUGAGGCUCAACCUCAGGCCUGCAGUCGAUACGGGCGGACUUGAGUACUGCAGGGGAGACUGGAAUUCCUGGUGUAGCGGUGAAAUGCGCAGAUAUCAGGAGGAACACCGGUGGCGAAGGCGGCGAUCUGGGUCGAUACUGACGCUGAGGUGCGAAAGCGUGGGGAGCAAACAGG